AACGAACGCUGGCGGCAUGCCUAACACAUGCAAGUCGAACGCCGUAGCAAUACGGAGUGGCAGACGGGUGAGUAACACGUGGGAACGUACCCUUCGGGUUCGGGAUAACUCAGGGAAACUUGAGCUAAUACCGGAUACGUCCGAGAGGAGAAAGAUUUAUCGCCGAGGGAUCGGCCCGCGUCUGAUUAGCUUGUUGGUGAGGUAACGGCUCACCAAGGCGACGAUCAGUAGCUGGCUGAGAGGAUGAUCAGCCACAUUGGGACUGAGACACGGCCCAAACUCCUACGGGAGGCAGCAGUGGGGAAUAUUGGACAAUGGGCGCAAGCCUGAUCCAGCAAUGCCGCGUGAGUGAGGAAGGCC
This 360-nucleotide ribosomal RNA is filed under the name uncultured bacterium. RNAcentral's name for it is "bacterial SSU rRNA". It matches the Rfam family "Bacterial small subunit ribosomal RNA", at positions 29 to 416 of the family's 1533-position model. The record is from RNAcentral.